UACGUAGGUCCCGAGCGUUGUCCGGAUUUAUUGGGCGUAAAGCGAGCGCAGGUGGUUUAUUAAGUCUGGUGUAAAAGGCAGUGGCUCAACCAUUGUAUGCAUUGGAAACUGGUAGACUUGAGUGCAGGAGAGGAGAGUGGAAUCCCAUGUGUAGCGGUGAAAUGCGUAGAUAUAUGGAGGAACACCGGUGGCGAAAGCGGCUCUCUGGUCUGUAACUGACGCUGAGGCUCGAAAGCGUGGGUAGCAAACAGG
RNAcentral lists this ribosomal RNA (252 nucleotides) under uncultured bacterium. RNAcentral describes it as "partial 16S ribosomal RNA". It matches the Rfam family "Bacterial small subunit ribosomal RNA", at positions 524 to 776 of the family's 1533-position model. The record is from RNAcentral.